Molecule: long non-coding RNA, 2595 nt
Organism: Eriocheir sinensis (Chinese mitten crab)
Lineage: Eukaryota; Metazoa; Arthropoda; Malacostraca; Decapoda; Varunidae
Exons: 2
Source: RefSeq, a predicted model, not a curated record
GAUUGCUUUCUCUUAUAAUUAUGUGGGGUCUACUACAUAUGACCCUUCUGUAUAACAACUCAGGUUAUCAGAAUUACAUUGCGGUACACUGUGCUAUGGGUGAGGUUUGAUUGUCUACAGGAAUCAAGUAUCUUGCUGGAAAAAUGGCUAUUUAAGAAUGUAAUAGGUCCCAGAGAGCUAUCCAUUUAUAUUUUCUUCUCUUCUAAGGACAUCAUUUGUUAUAAGAUCCCCCCUGGUACAUAUUUUCACAUAAUUCCUCCCCUCCCAAGGGCUCUGAGGAAGUCCUCAGUUCUUCAUAUAGCAUGAUUUUGAUUCCUUACCUUGGUAACAGGUCUGUGCCCUUCUUCCCCUCCCAAGCGCUCGGAGGAAGACCCCAGUUCAUGCUGCAAGAUCUUACUUACCUUGGUACACGUUUUUCCCCUUCCUUCCCUCCCAAGGGCUUAAGGAAGACCCCAGUUCUUCAUGCUCUCUAGUUCUCUAGUUCUUCAUGUUACAAGAUAUUCCUUUGGUAGUCUAACAACCAUCCAUAAUUAAUUUAAGGGUCAAAGAAGGCUCCAAAAUUUCUUGCAUAAAUAUAUAUUUGGUAAAUUACAUAUAGUUAUUUACACAAUUGUGUAUUAAUUUACUAUCUACCUACUACUACUACUACUGCUACUACUACUACUACUAAUUAUAAUAAUAAAAAAGCUACAGAUACAGACAUACAACACAACAGAUAAUUAGAUGGCCCCCCAAAAAACACUUAACAAAAACAUAAAAUUUGCCGAACACAAACACAUAGCAACCUUCCUCGCAGACAAUUUAAGUAACAACAUAAACAUUUUUUCAAAUUCUUUAGGGCAUGCAAAUAUGCUACCAACACUAUUAUAUCACAGAAAGACAACAAUAUCACAGUAGUAACCAGCCCACAACACCGUUCCAAUUAGUGUGCACCCAAGAACACUACCAGACACCAACCAUGCCACACAGCCCCUUCUUCCAACAGCCCCCCUCAACAUUACCAUUAACAGUAUGGGGAGGAGAGGGGGUAUCCUGGCAUUACAGAAGGACUUGACAAGUAAAUUCACUGGGCCCGACAACAUCCUUGCCUUCAUUCUUAAAUCCUUAGCCCCGUCCUCCAGGGACUCCUUGAUCCAAUAUAUAUCAUCCUCAUCAUUACUUUGACUGGCUUCUGACAAACAUCAACCCUUUAUUUGAGACAGGUGACUGGACUGACACAGCCAAUUAUUGCCCCAUUUCACUAACACUGAUUCCAUGUGGAACUUUUGAACACAAUACACAAACACAUAAUGAAAUCUGCUUGACACAAACAUCAUUGUUUCUGACUCACAACAUGGCCUUACAACCCAAAUGCUCAUGUGAAUUGUACACACACACAAAUACCUCAGAGUUCAAUUCUCCAUUAACUUAAAAUUCAACACUCACACAGAACACAUCAGUGCCACAGCCAACUGAACACUUUUGGAUCCUUAAGUGUAAUCAACAUAACUGUAUAAAAAAAAACACUUAUACAACUAGUAGUAGUAUAUCACACUUGUGAGAUCAAUGCUUGAAUACUGCUCCACGGUGCGGCAUUAUCACACACAGAAACAUUGAGAGGUUAGAGCAAAUCUACACCAAGGUGUUUCUAGGAAAGGAAGAGGUUGUGUAGAUUAUUUUCUUUUACUGAAAAUGCUAUUUGAAAAGAAAUGGUGAAGCCAAUAUUUCAUAAAAAAAAAAAGAAUAUGUGAAGAGAGAGUAUGAGGGAAGGAAAUGGUGAAGCCAAUAUUUCAUAAAAAAAAAAGAAUAUGUGAAGAGAGAGUAUGAGGGAAGGAAAUGGAGAAGCCAAUAUUUCAUUAAGAAUAAAUAAAUCUGCAAUGAAAUUUUAGUAACCCUUUCAUUGAUAAAUGUUUGCAGUGGGCAUUAGGCGUAUUUGCUGGUGGCGCUAAACACUCGCUGUGAGCUCCAGCUGCACUCAAAUCUCCCACAUGUGAGUGUUCCAUAACUAAUUCUCAUAACACAGGUCCGAUUGCCAAUAGAGUGGGUUCUUCACUAAAUUUGGUGGAAAAUCAUGUCAGCCAAGCACAGAAAAUCUACGGAUGAGCAAGUGGUGGAUAUUCUUGCCCAAUAUAGUGACAUUUUUGCACAGCUUCACCUAUCACUUGACUCAUAUUUUGACCAAAUAGUUGUAAAGUUUGCAGUUGGCAAUACUCCCUUGCCAGCACCCAUCAUCAAGAGAUCUACAGUAGUUGCCUUGCGGCUGACCGUCACGCACAUAUAAAUGUACAUCUUCACAGGAAACACCCCCUGAACGUGCCUGUAUUUUCGCAGGAGAGGCUUACAUUACCGAAUAUUAUAAAUCUUGGCCUCCUCUUUCCAAUGGUGUUUUUGUUUUUAGCUGUGAUAAAUAGUUUUUUUAUACAAAGGUUAAAAGAGCGAGCACUAGCGUCACUUGCUGGUGGUGCUAAAAGCUCGCUGUGAACGCGCCUGAGGGGAGUCUCAUUGUGAGCGCUUAGCAAUGAAAGGGUUAAGAAAGAUAAUUAAUAUUAUUUUGUGGAGACAAUGGAAACAGUUGAGAAAGGUUCUGGUGAUCUCAAUUAAUGGCUGGACCCCACA